AUUGAACGCUAGCGGCAGGCUUAACACAUGCAAGUCGAACGAGCGGCGGCCGGGUGAGUAAUAUAUGGGAAACUGCCUGGGAGCGGGGGAUAACUACUCGAAACAGUGGCUAAUACCUCAUACCAUCAGAUCGGCCCAGAUGGGAUUAGCUAGUAGGUGGGGUAAUGGCUCACCUAGGCAACGAUCCCUAGCUGGUCUGAGAGGACGACUAGCCACACUGGGACUGAGACACGGUCCAGACUCCUACGGGAGGCAGCAGUGGGGAAUAUUGCACAAUGGGCGCAACCCUGAUGCAGCCAUGCCGCGUGUGUGAUGAAGGCCUUCGGGUUGUAAAGCACUUUUAGCGAGGAAGCGUUAUCUGCAGAAUAAGCACCGGCUAACUACGUGCCAGCAGCUGCGGUAAUAC
Molecule: ribosomal RNA, 406 nt
Filed under: uncultured bacterium
Lineage: Bacteria
Description: partial 16S ribosomal RNA
Rfam family: Bacterial small subunit ribosomal RNA
Source: RNAcentral